Agrilus planipennis (emerald ash borer) is the source of this 711-nucleotide long non-coding RNA. RefSeq lists it as uncharacterized. The record is from RefSeq and is a predicted model, not a curated record. Lineage: Eukaryota; Metazoa; Arthropoda; Insecta; Coleoptera; Buprestidae. The transcript has 3 exons.
UAAAAAUUAUACGUCUUUGCUGUUCUACGAUUCAAAAAAUGGUUUUAUCAUUAGAAUUUUAAAUAUUUCGCGCCAGUAUAGAAAUACAGUGUACCCUUGCGUCAAGGUCGGUAACGCUCAGGUAGUCUCGUUCCCAGUUGCAUUUACGUGAUUAUUUAUACACAAUAAUGUCUCGUUUUAUAUAAUUAUCACGAUAAUUCGUUACAGUGGAUGCAUUUAUAUUGUAUUACAGUAUUUUUUAAACCGGCAUAAGCAACUACCAACGACUAUUUAGAAAAAAGAAGUAGUACAAAGUACAUAUUAAAUAUAAUGCGAACUUCGUCGAGACUAACAAAUUUCGUCGAUGACGUACUUCCUUCUCGCUCCACUCGCUCAAGCUCAGUGGUGGUCUGCUCAUCUGCUGUCUGCUGUUGCUUGUUGCAUUACGUUUUGUUCCUGUUAGGUGUGAUAUGGUACACUUAAGAAUACACUUUUUUCUGGCUUUGCCUAUCGAAUCUUCUUUUAUCAGUUCAACCUUCAGCAAUGGCAGAAGCAGAACAGUAGAAUUAAUAAGGAGCUUAUCUUUCCAUCAGUCUGAUUGUUGGCUUAAUAUGGGAAAAGAAGCAUUAAACUUGUAAAUUUUCAACGUAGCAGGAACCCAUUUUGCAGAUUAAUGAAAGAUUGUUCAACCAAUGAAAAGGAAUUGCAGUUAAUUUUGAACUUGUGAGGAAG